CGAAGGAUGCAAGCGUUAUCCGGAUUCAUUGGGUUUAAAGGGUGCGUAGGCGGACUGAUAAGUCAGUGGUGAAAUCUCUUUGCUUAACAAAGAAACUGCCAUUGAUACUGUCGGUCUAGAGUAUAGAUGACGUUGGCGGUAUAUGACAUGUAGUGGUGAAAUACUUAGAUAUGUCAUAGAACACCGAUUGCGAAGGCAGCUAACGAAACUAUAACUGACGCUGAGGCACGAAAGUGCGGGGAUCAAACAGGAUUAGAUACCCUGGUAGUCCGCACCGUAAACGAUGAUUACUCGUUGUUGGCGAUAUGACAGUCAGCGACCAAGCGAAAGCGAUAAGUAAUCCACCUGGGGAGUACGCCGGCAACGGUG
This 369-nucleotide ribosomal RNA is filed under the name uncultured organism. Its description in RNAcentral is "bacterial SSU rRNA". It matches the Rfam family "Bacterial small subunit ribosomal RNA", at positions 526 to 896 of the family's 1533-position model. The record is from RNAcentral.